CCCGCCUGGGGUCCCGGGGAGCGGGGCCGACCGUGGCACCGCGCGCUGGCACCAGCCCCGGGCACAGGCUCUGGGCACCGCCCUCCCUCCCCCCCAGCCCCGGGGCUCUGGCCCCGCUCGCUCCCCUGCCCCGGCCCACCGUGCCCGUCCUGCACGUUCUGCCCGCGGGGCCGCAGGACCCCUCUAGAGCUGUUCGUGCCCAGCGUGGGCACUGCCACUGCCAGCCUGUGUGUGGGGAGCCUGCGGUGACUUCAGUGCCCCUCCUGCAACACAAGGCCUCCUCCUCUCCUGGCUGCUGCACCUGUGCAAAACUGGUAUCACCUGAAGUAUCCCUGAAUGUCACGCUGUUCUGCAAAGGCUCCAGCAGCCCUGUAGGCUCUCUGGAUGGUAUUGACUCUGAACUCGGGUUUAACCGCUUCUGUCGAAGAAUCCUGAAGAUCCCAGGAUUUCUGAGAAGUCUUGCCCUUCUGUUUUUUUCCUUUGAGAAGAAGCUUAUUUAGCACAAUGGAAGUAUCAUUACCUUGGUGUCAGACAUGGAAGAAAAUGACACAAGAAGAGACAAGAGCCCCUCCUGUCAGGUGCAAGGAACUGCUCCUGCAGCAAACAAACACCACUGGAACAAGAGGCAGAGAGAGACUCGCACAUAGAGAAUUUGGGAGCAUACAAUCAGAAUAAGAUCAAGAAUCACUGAAGAGACCAUGUGUGCUUCUUUUUUGAGAACAACAUUCUACUGUCAAUGGAGGAUCGAGUCUCUAGGCAGCCACCUAGGUGAGGGCUGCCCAUAUGCCAGCGUGACUCUGCAUCUACUUCCCGUUAGAGGAACAGCAGUUCAGACUUCGCUCGGCACUCGUCAUGAGCCUCGUCUCCUGUUUUGCCAGGGGAAGGAGGGGGCAGGGUGAGUGUCGUGGCCGUGCAGCCAGAGCCGCACCGCGUCAGCCAGACGUGAACGGUGCAGGAGGCAGAGCUAGCAGCAGAGAACUGAGGCAGGCGGGGAGGCUGGGGGGUGAGAUAGAGAAGAUUGGGGGUUGCUCAGCCCCCUGAAAAUCAGAACGGCUGAUCUCUAUCUCUGUGUGCUUCGCUGGUUUGCUUGCUUUAAAAAACAUCACAUACUUGGUACUGACACCUAUAGCUAAGGUUACUUGAUAUUUUCCAUCACAAGUCUGUUUUCAGUUACUCAGAACUUUGCCAGUCAUCAGAUAUUCAGAUUUGAAUUUUCCACGUUUAUUUUCACUUUUUUUCCCCCUGAAGAUGGAGGCACUUAGUAAGAUGUAAAAAACAAAUGUUAUUUUGAAAUUAUAAAAUUUUAACUUUGACACA
Molecule: long non-coding RNA, 1317 nt
Organism: Pipra filicauda (Wire-tailed manakin)
Lineage: Eukaryota; Metazoa; Chordata; Aves; Passeriformes; Pipridae
Exons: 4
Source: RefSeq, a predicted model, not a curated record